UACGGAGGAUGCGAGCGUUAUCCGGAUUUAUUGGGUUUAAAGGGUGCGUAGGCGGAAUAUCAAGUCAGCGGUAAAAUGUCGGUGCUCAACACCGGCCGGCCGUUGAAACUGGCAGCCUUGAGUGAGCGAGAAGUAUGCGGAAUGCGUGGUGUAGCGGUGAAAUGCGUAGAUAUUAGGAGGAACACCAGUGGCGAAGGCGGCCUGCUGGACGAUGACUGACGUUGAGGCUCGAAAGCGUGGGGAGCAAACAGG
This 252-nucleotide ribosomal RNA is filed under the name uncultured bacterium. RNAcentral's name for it is "partial 16S ribosomal RNA". It matches the Rfam family "Bacterial small subunit ribosomal RNA", at positions 524 to 776 of the family's 1533-position model. The record is from RNAcentral.